This 89-nucleotide microRNA precursor is filed under the name Setaria italica (foxtail millet). RNAcentral's name for it is "mir-156 microRNA precursor family". It matches the Rfam family "mir-156 microRNA precursor family". From Rfam's summary of the family: This family represents the plant microRNA (miRNA) precursor mir-156. Animal miRNAs are transcribed as ~70nt precursors and subsequently processed by the Dicer enzyme to give a ~22nt product. The record is from Rfam by way of RNAcentral. Lineage: Eukaryota; Viridiplantae; Streptophyta; Magnoliopsida; Poales; Poaceae.
GUGACAGAAGAGAGUGAGCACACGUGGUCGCUUCCCUGCAUGUAUUUCUCGUGCUUGGAGCUACGCGUGCUCACUUCUCUUCCUGUCAC